This 3347-nucleotide long non-coding RNA is filed under the name Homo sapiens (human). Its description in RNAcentral is "non-protein coding lnc-WDR5-4:6". Lineage: Eukaryota; Metazoa; Chordata; Mammalia; Primates; Hominidae. The record is from RNAcentral.
GCAAGCUCUGCGUGGUCUUGGGUGGCGAGUUCGAGCCUUAGAACGGCCGAGUGCCCUGGAACCGGUUUCGGCUCUGGCGUCCUCGCGUGUCCUCCGGCUCCAGGUUACAACGUCAGUAUUGGCGCCUUGGCGCGGUCCCGUCCUGCUCUCGUCCUCCGUUCCGUGGACCCCGGGGCUGUUCUGGCGCCUCGCAGGCCGGGCCCCUCCCAUCGACUCGAUGGGCAGGGCUCUGCGAGGCUCGGGGACCGGGGACGCGCGGCCUUCCUGACAAGGAGCCCGAGGGUCUGCACAGCCUGGGGCACCACCCGGCCUGAACCCGUGGAAACAGCCUGCGAUGCACGGAUGGAGGUGGCUUUGCCCUGUGUCUGCUGGUGCCUCUGGAACUCCGGCUCUGACAGACGCUGCGUCUCCUGCUGACUGCUGCAUCCCAAGAUGAGCCCAGCGCUUGCACACAGGGCGUCCCAAAGUGUUUGUUGAACAAAGGCAUGAUCAGUGUUGGUAUUGCCCUGAGACUCAUGCCCUCAGCCCCGAUUCGGGCACAUGGCUCAUGUCAACCGCUGGAAGUCCCUCUGGGGCCCACAAAUGUCUCUAGACCACAGGAAGAGUCGGCCUGGCUCCAUGUGCCUGGCGCCUGGGGCAGAAAGGUGGACGGGGCAAUCAGAGUGGUCACCAUCGGGGAGUACACUUUGCACUCCACUCGAGUCUCCAGGGAUAUAACUCACUGGAUCCUAAGUCUCACUUUCUGAGGGCCGUUCUUAGAGUCUCCUGUAUGAAAUCAGGCUACAUCCAGAGAAAGUUCCAGAAAUAAGAAAAGAUGAGAUCGCCUACUGACCCUCCCAUUUUUUGCACACGGACACUGAGGGAGGGGAGGAACUUGCUCAAGGGCACCACACAAUUUUUUUUUGAGAUGGAGUCUCAAAGAUGGAGAAUUCCUCCAACCAUGAGGAAUUUGAACGCUUAUCCCGAAUAGUGGAAAAUGAACGUCUCAUGGAGUUAGGGCCUGUCACCACCUGGGGAUCUACAGUCAGACAUGGCAUAGAGGAUGCCCUCCCAGAUCCCGCUCUGUCUCCCAGACUGGAGUGCAGUAGUGCCACCUUGGCUCACUGCAACCUCCGUCUUCCGGAUUCAAGCGAUUCUCUGGCCUUAGCCUCCUGAGUAGAUGGGAUUACAGGCGCACACCACCACACCCGGCUAAUUUUGUAUUUUUACUAGAGAUGGGGCUUCACCAUGUUGGCCAGGCUGGUCUUGAACUCCUGACCUCAAGUGAUCCACCUGCCUCAGUCUCCCAAAGUGCUGGGAUCACAGGCAUGAGCCAACAUACCCAGCCCACCCCAUGAGUUAUUGCUAGAGUGGUGGGGUAGGGACCCGGCCCCCAGCUCUCAGUGCUGGACAUGGGCAGGGUGGGCAUGGGUUCCCUUCCAGCCCUGGCAGAGCCCUGGACCAUGCGUGCUUUUCCCCUCAAGUGUCGAGGCAGGCAGGGCUGCUGCAUAGAAUACAAGAUGCCCCAUUGAGAUGGAAUCUCAGACAAAUGAGUCAUGUUUUACUGUAAGCAUAUCCCAAAUAUUUCAUGGGACACACUUAUACUAAAACUUAUUCAUUGUUUAUCUGAGCUUCAAAUGUAGUGGAGUGCCCUGUAUUUUUAUUUGCUAAAUUUGGCAGCCCUAGUAACGGGAGCUGGAAGGCUUUUGUUAUUUGCCCUCAAGCAGCAUUUCCUGGCAUUGGCUUCAGUGACCAGUUGUCUCUUGAAAUGUCCCAUGGACAGAAGGGAAGAAAACUGGGAAAUACUGUGUUAAAUAAACUUGCACAAUUCCUUUUUUUUUUUCUUUAAAGAAAAGCCUAGCCGGGCGUGGUGGCUCACACCUGUAAUCCCAGCACUUUGGGAGGCCAAGAAGGGCGGCUCACAAGGUCAGGAGUUUGAGACUAUCCUGGCCAAUGUGUUGAAACCCCAUCUCUACUAAAAAUAAAAAAAUUAGCUGGGUGUGGUGUCGGGUGCCUGUAAUCCCAGCUACUUGGGAGGCUGAGGCAGGAGAAUUGCUUGAACCCAGGCGGGAGGUUGCAGUGAGCUGAGAUCACGCCGCUGCACUCCAGCCUGGGCAACAGAGUGAGACUCCGUCUCAAAAAAAAAGAAAAGAAAAGAAAAGAAAAAAGCCUAUUAGUUGGCAGGAGGGCUUAUGAAAAUGAGGCCUGGGGGAUGUGUCAUUUACUCAACUGUCUUGGCUAAUGGGAUCUCUAGGCUGGUGAGGUUGCGUUCUGUGUUUUUUUUUUUUUUUUUUUUUUUUUUUGAGACGGUGUCUCGCUCUGUUGCUGAGGGUGGAGUGCAGUGGUGCGAUCUCGGCUCGCUGCAACCUCUGCCUCCCAGGUUCAAGCAAUUCUCAUGCCUCAGCCUCCAGAGUAGCUGGGAUUACAGGCAUGUGCCACCAUGCCCAGCUACUUUUUUGUGUUUUUUCUAGAGACAGGAUUUCACCAUGUUGGCCAGGUUGGUCUCGAACUCCUGACCUCGAGUGAUCCGCCCACCUUGGCCUCCCAGAGUGCUGGGAUUAUAGGCGUGAGGCACCGCUCCUGGCUGUGUUCUAUGUUCUGUAAAGGAAAACAGUGCAGGUAGGAGAAAAGAGGGGCCUGGGAAGGGAAGAAAACAGCAGGGAAGAGGAGGGCUGAAGACAGAGCAGGAGGAAGGCUGAGUGGCUUUAGCUCUUUGGCCUAACCCAGACCAGUCAGAGUUCACUCUGGGCACCUCCCAGUGGCAGCCACUUGAUUUGCAGGCAAAGAGCUUGGAGACCGGCUCUGCAAAUUCAGCCUUAUCCAUGUCCACAUGGGUAUGGCCCCGGAAAGCACUCAACAAAUAUGCACUAAAUGGAUGACUUCAGGCAGUGAUCCAGAUUAUUCAGAGCAGAAAGCUGCUUGGGCUCUGAUUACAGAAAAGUACUCCCCGCUCAUCCGGAUGCAGGGAUACCUUCCAAGACCCCCUGUGGAGGCCUGAAACUGUGGAUUGUACCGAACUGUAGAAAUACAGUACUGUUUUUUUUUCCUAUACAUACAUACCUAUGAUAAAGCUAGGCACAGUAAGAGAUUAACAGUAAUUACUAAUGAUAAACAGAACGAUUGCCACAAUAUACUGCUGUAAUAAAGUUAGUGUGUGUGAUCUCUCUUUCACAAUAUCCUAGUGUUCCAUGCUCACCUAGUUUCCGGCCACUAUUGACCGUGGGUACCUGAAAUUGCAGAAAGCAGAAACUCAGAUAAGCAGGGACUACUGUACUCUUUUUUUUUUUGAGACAGAGUCUCGCUCUCACCCAGGCUGGAGUGCAGUGGUGUGAUCUCGGCUCGCUGCAACCUCUGCCUCCCAGGUUCAA